Molecule: non-coding RNA, 46 nt
Organism: Schistosoma mattheei
Lineage: Eukaryota; Metazoa; Platyhelminthes; Trematoda; Strigeidida; Schistosomatidae
Source: Rfam
GCACUGCUGAGGAGUCCCAUACUAGGACGAAACGGCCGUCCAGCAC